CAGGACGAACGCUGGCGGCGUGCCUAAUACAUGCAAGUCGAACGGUCUUUCUAUGGAAGCUUGCUUCCACUGAGAAGAUAGUGGCGAACGGGUGAGUAACACGUGGGUAACCUGCCCAUAAGAGGGGGGAUAACAUCCGGAAACGGGUGCUAAUACCGCAUAGUUUUCUUGAUCGCAUGAUCGGGAAAGGAAAGACGGCCUUUGUGCUGUCGCUUAUGGAUGGACCCGCGGCGUAUUAGUUAGUUGGUGAGGUAACGGCUCACCAAGACGAUGAUACGUAGCCGACCUGAGAGGGUGAUCGGCCACAUUGGGACUGAGACACGGCCCAAACUCCUACGGGAGGCAGCAGUAGGGAAUCUUCCGCAAUGGACGAAAGUCUGACGGAGCAACGCCGCGUGAGUGAAAGAAGGUUUUCGGAUCGUAAAACUCUGUUGUCAGAGAAGAACAAGUUGGAGAGUAACUGCUCCAGCCUUGACGGUAUCUGACCAGAAAGCCACGGCUAACUACGUGCCAGCCGCGGC
RNAcentral lists this ribosomal RNA (521 nucleotides) under uncultured bacterium. RNAcentral describes it as "bacterial SSU rRNA". It matches the Rfam family "Bacterial small subunit ribosomal RNA", at positions 25 to 518 of the family's 1533-position model. The record is from RNAcentral.